AAGCAGCAACACCAGUUUUAACUGAACUUCCUGAGAACAAGACUAAUGCCAGGGCUAGGUGAUUACAGUGUGAAAGCAUAAAGGAUUUAAUCAUCUUAGCGACUUCAAUCCAGUUCUUUAUAAAUAGGAAACAGCUAAAGAAGACUACAUGCUGUCACAGGAUAUCCUACAAGAAAUAAUCAGGAGACGUAAAUCACUCUCUGCGAUCUGAGGGACUUCAGCAGGGUUGGGUAAGAGCGAUCUGAAAAGGACAAUCUGACAAUAAGUCUGACUAUGGCUCACAGGUAGAAGUGUUAGAUUUGGGUUUUGAGCACCCACCGUUGCAGUCAUUGACACCCAAUUGACCAAACUUGUUGCGCCCCCAACCGAACACGGCUCCUGAGAGAGUGAGGGCAAAGCUGUGAGCCCCGCCUGCUGAUAUCUGAACAAAAGGAAUGCCUUGCAGAGACUGAAUGAUUUGGGGCAUGGAGAUGCUCUGUCCGUUUAUGCCCAGCCCAAGUUGUCCAUAUCGAUUCUGGCCCCAGGAGAAGACUUGGCCCGCUAUGAGGAGAAUUAGAAAUAAUGUAGAAUAUCUUUACAUAUGGAAAACAUAAUAUGCUGAAUUGAUUGUGCUUCAUGUUAUAAACAAUCCUCACCUCUUGAAAGUGCAUGGGAGUGCCAAUACCCACAGGCUACCUGAGCUAUUUGUACAUCUGACAAACUCUUGAUAUUUCUGAACAGAAAGAAUGAAUCGUUAUUUAUGUAUCAUAAAUCUAAUCAUUUGCACCACAGUGUAAUUAAGAAGGUUAAUGUUGUUAUUGAGAUAAACAUGUGGAUACAUUUAGAAGUUCUAAUUACGAAUGGGUUCAUCCUGGCAAAAAUCACUGGAUCAAAAAUAUAUUUAAAAUGAUAAUCUGAUACAAUUCCAUUAAACUAAAUGAUCUGCAUCAAUUGGAA
This is a long non-coding RNA of Eleginops maclovinus (Patagonian blennie), 936 nucleotides long. RefSeq lists it as uncharacterized. Lineage: Eukaryota; Metazoa; Chordata; Actinopteri; Perciformes; Eleginopidae. The transcript has 2 exons. The record is from RefSeq and is a predicted model, not a curated record.